Pseudopipra pipra is the source of this 1812-nucleotide long non-coding RNA. RefSeq lists it as uncharacterized. The record is from RefSeq and is a predicted model, not a curated record. The transcript is spliced from 5 exons. NCBI's taxonomy places the organism in Eukaryota, Metazoa, Chordata, Aves, Passeriformes, Pipridae.
GCAGAAACAACAGGCCCCAUAGUCCCGACCAGGCCUCAGCUCCCUCACAGUGAGCGAGACCUGCUGCGGGAGUCUGCUGUCUCCAAACCUCGACGGAAGAGAAGAGAGGAAGAGGCUUCUCUCCCGUCUUACUUAUACUCUGGCUUACGUAAAAAAAUCGUAGGGAAUACUGGGAACAUGGCCACUUCCUAGUUCUGACCUGGUUACCAGGAAGGCCUAAAAAAACCAAACCACUACACCUUGUCAUAACAGCAAAUCAGCAAUCCCUGCAAUGGACUUUCAGGAAGACAAAGAUACUGAGUGAUUCUUCUCUCUCAUCAUUAUGUGUUAACAGGAAAGAAAUUCACUUGAUGCUUUCAAGAACUUUAAUAAUAGUGUGUGUAAAGAGAAGGACAAGACAAAUGACCACUUAAAUACCUGAGGCCUCAGCAAUGUAUCUUCAGUGUGGUGGACAAAGUUCUAGACACAGAUUUGCACUACAGAGACUUGCAAGGAAAAGCCAACUUUAAUUUUAAAUUUAUGCAUAAAAAGAAGCUUUCAUUUAAAGAAUAAAAGCAAGGAGGAAGAGGAAAAACAAAUAAAACCCAAAAAACUUUCAAGUUAUAAACAGAGACUUUUGACUACCCUAUCAUCUGAGUGCACCACAGCAAUCACAAAAGUGUCCACAUCUGCUUGAAAGUACACCGGGCACAUCUCAUUGCAAAGAGUCACUUCAAGGUUUGGAGACCAAUUCAUCCCUUCUACACCCUUGUUUAGGAUCUACAAUGUGCCAUAUACAUUUUCUGUCUCACUGUGAAUUGUGCAAAAGAAGUUAAAAGAAUUAGAGUUAAUAUACAUUAAUAGCAUGCAGGCCUUGUGUAUAUCAGUGGUACAAGGAAUUCUACCAUGAGUAUUACUUUAUUGCUUUGCAUUACACCCAAGAAAAUCUUCCUGCAUAACACAUUAAAUAAGAUUCUUAAUAUAAGUGAGGAUAGUGGACUCUCUUUUCAUGUCUUUUAGAGCUAUUUUUUUAACAGUAUUUUAAAGUAAAAGGUAUCUAAAAUUGAAUAUAACACAGAAAAUAAUUGGGAAUUUCAUCAAGAAUGAAUGAUCUUAAGAGCACCUUUUUUUAAUAUCUAUUGGAUUAUAAGCAAAUCUUUCUUGAAAGUUUACCUUUUCCUGAACUCAAGAGCACAACCUUCAACUGCUGAUGAAGGAGAAGAAAUUACAAUGGGGGAAAAGUUUGAUUUGUAUUUUGAAUGAAUUAUUAUUUACCUUUCAGGUUCUUGUAACACAUGAAAAUUGAAUGGCAGACAGUAAAUUGUACAUUUCUUAACUAGUCCACUUCUUUUAAUUCCAUAAAGGGUGAUUCAUUACCAAAGAGUAAAGUAAUAUUCAGUCAUAUUGCUACAAAUUUUAUUCAGUCUUUCAACAUCACACUUCCUAUUUACUUCACUCUGUUUUGUAAGAUAAUGUCAAACCUCCUGAAACAUCUACUAGAGUGGAAGCUUCCAUCUUUGUAAACUACUGUGUCUUUAACAGCCUCUAUAAGAACUGUAGUGUGUAAUGUUGACUGACAAGAAAAUAGUUUACUUUUUUUUCAGCUGGUUAAUCUCCCAGAAUCUACUUGGCUUUUGCUUCCCCUAUUUCUGUAUUGACCACUAAAAUAUAAUUGAUCUUCUGCCUCCGAAUUCCUGCUGCUUCAUGAGCUCUGUUACAAUUCAACAUAAUCUAUUUCCAACUGAUGUUGAAAAACAUAAUAAGGUCACAGCAGGGAAGAUUUAGCUUCAUUAAAACAUUAUUAUUAUAAAAAAUAAAAUGAUCUAAAGUAAA